RNAcentral lists this ribosomal RNA (506 nucleotides) under uncultured bacterium. RNAcentral's name for it is "partial 16S ribosomal RNA". It matches the Rfam family "Bacterial small subunit ribosomal RNA", at positions 29 to 523 of the family's 1533-position model. The record is from RNAcentral.
AGUGAACGCUGGCGGUAGUCCUAACACAUGCAAGUCGAACGGCAGCACAGGAGAGCUUGCUCUCUGGGUGGCGAGUGGCGGACGGGUGAGGAAUACAUCGGAAUAUACUCUGUCGUGGGGGAUAACGUAGGGAAACUUACGCUAAUACCACAUACGACCUACGGGUGGAAGCAGGGUACCUUCGGACCUUGCGCGAUUGAAUUAGCCGAUGUCGGAUUAGCUAGUUGGCGGGGUAAAGGCCCACCAAGGCGACGAGCCGUAGCUGGUCUGAGAGGAUGAUCAGCCACACUGGAACUGAGACACGGUCCAGACUCCUACGGGAGGCAGCAGUGGGGAAUAUUGGACAAUGGGCGCAAGCCUGAUCCAGCCAUACCGCGUGGGUGAAGAAGGCCUUCGGGUUGUAAAGCCCUUUUGUUGGGAAAGAAAUCCAGCUGGCUAAUACCCGGUUGGGAUGACGGUACCCAAAGAAUAAGCACCGGCUAACUUCGUGCCAGCCGCCGCGGUAA